GAUGAAGAACGUAGCAAAAUGCGAUAAGUAAUGUGAAUUGCAGAAUUCAGUGAAUCAUCGAAUCUUUGAACGCACAUUGCGCCCGCUGGUAUUCCGGCGGGCAUGCCUGUUCGAGCGUCAUUUCAACCCUCAAGCCCCCGGGUUUGGUGUUGGGGAUCGGCUCUGCCCUUCUGGGCGGUGCCGCCCCCGAAAUACAUUGGCGGUCUCGCUGCAGCCUCCAUUGCGUAGUAGCUAACACCUCGCAACUGGAACGCGGCGCGGCCAUGCCGUAAAACCCCAACUUCUUAAUGUUGACCUCGGAUCAGGUAGGAAUACCCGCUGAACUUAAGCAUAUCAAUAAGCGGAGGA
Molecule: unclassified non-coding RNA, 348 nt
Filed under: soil metagenome
Description: partial contains 5.8S ribosomal RNA, internal transcribed spacer 2, and large subunit ribosomal RNA
Rfam family: 5.8S ribosomal RNA (bases 1-120)
Source: RNAcentral